RNAcentral lists this ribosomal RNA (2049 nucleotides) under Triticum aestivum (bread wheat). RNAcentral describes it as "partial small subunit ribosomal RNA". Lineage: Eukaryota; Viridiplantae; Streptophyta; Magnoliopsida; Poales; Poaceae. The record is from RNAcentral.
AUGAAAAAAGUCAGCAGUAGGAGAGAGCUGGAGGAUAUGGGUUUCUCCGAGGUGGUACAAUGGUGGGACGAGUGGCAGCUCCGUGUGCUCGUCCUGUGCAGCCUCUUCCUCCAGUACUUCCUCUUCGUCGCAGCCGGCAUGCGCAAGCGUUGCAUCCCCUCCUGGUUCAGGUUCUUCAUCUGGCUCGCCUACCUGGGCAGCGAUGCGUUGGCCAUUUACGCCCUCGCCACCCUCUUCAACAGCCACAGGAAGCAGGAGUGGACGUCCACACGCCGCGGCAGCUCCAGCCUGGAGGCGCUAUGGGCGCCGGUGCUGCUGGUGCACCUCGGUGGUCAGGACGGCAUCACUGCCUACAACAUAGAGGACAACGAGCUGUGGAGGCGGCACGUCCUCACCGCAGUGUCCCAGGUCGCCGUAGCCAUCUACGUCUUUUGCAAGUCAUGGCCAGGGGACAAGAAGCUGCUGCAAACUGCAAUUAUCUUCUUCAUCUGUGGCAUAAUCAGGUGUUUGGAUAAGCCAUGGGCUCUCAAGAACGCCAGCAUCAACAGCAUCGUCAGCAGCUCCAGCACAGACGAAGAUCAUGGCGGCACCAUUUCGCUCGACGAAUACAUAGACCAAGCAACCAAGUGUGUUUUACACGCAAAACAGAGGAAGAAAACAAGUACAUCUGGCGACAACAAAGCGAUCAAGGAGCCCUACCAUCUAUUCGAAGACCUGGCAUACCCGUACACUGUCCGGCUGGAGAACCUCAAGUACAUGGUGGAGAACAAGCAAGACGAAGCGCAUGGGCUGGUUCAGUCAGGUCUCUCCAAAACGUUCGACCGGCUCUACACCAAGAAACAAGUGUACAAUGUGCGAAAGAUGGCGAGCAAUGUCUUCCGUAAUCACGUCCACUACAGUCUCGAUUAUCUUGGCGGGUACCUACGGUCAGUGACCGUGGUACUAACGUUUGCAGCCAUUGGGGUCUUCCACAAGAGCGACAGAGAAGCCCAGAACAGCACCGAUAUCUGGGUCACCUACACCAUGUUGUGCUGCACUGCUGCACUGCAGCUCCUCAUGACCAACGGGCUAGUGAUACUGUUUCUCCAUUGGUGUGUGCGUCGUUUGGGGUUGCAACCGUGGCCUGAACAGGUCGCCCAGUACAGCCUUGUUGGGUAUUUGGCCCGCAACAGGAGGCAUCCUAGGCUGAGGAAGCUUGCCACCAUGCUGGUUUGCAAGGACUACCUCGACAAGCUAUGGUGCAUGGAGUCGUGCAAGUCGUCGUCGUCCCGCGCCAUCACCAAGCUCGUCCACGCCCAUGUCAAACAAGGGUGGAGACGGUGCAUCAAGGACACCGCCACUUACAGGGCCUUCAACGACAAGCGGGGCCAGGGCACUCUCCUCCGCGAGAAAUGCACGGAACUGGAGUGGAGCCUGAGGAGGCCGUUCGACGAGAGCGUCCUUCUGUGGCACCUCGCCACGGACCUGUGCUUCUAUCAAAGGGACGUUGCUGGCCAGGGGGAGGACACGUCUCCUCAGCGCCGCUGCAGCAGGGAGAUCUCCAACUACAUGGUGUACCUUAUGUUCGUGAACCCGGAGAUGCUCAUGACCGGCACGAGGCGCAGUCUGUUCCGCACAACCUGCCAUGGAGUCAAGCACAUGCUCGAUGACGGCGACGACAAGACCCCGCUGGAAGACAGAGAGAUGAUGAAGAAGAUAAUCCAGCAGCUGGAGAAAGGCACACAAUGUCCAGGUAUCAUUCUUGAAGCUUGGGAACUAUCCAAGUCCCUCGUGGGUCUGCGUGACAAGAAGAUGUGGAGGGUGAUGCAGGGGGUGUGGGUGGAGAUGCUCUGCUUCUCCGCCGGCAGAUGCAGAGGGUACUUGCACGCCAAGAACCUAGGAAAGGGCGGUGAGUAUCUCUCCUAUGUCUGGCUGCUCCUGUCGCACAUGGGGAUGGAGACCCUUGCGGAGAGGGUGCAGAGAACCGAGCUGCCGGAAGAAGGAGACACCGGUGCCGCCGCGCCGGUACGAACAUCUAUGGUGAUGCCUAUCGGGGACGAUAGUGUGUGA